RNAcentral lists this unclassified non-coding RNA (424 nucleotides) under Psychotria rupicola. RNAcentral's name for it is "partial external transcribed spacer". The record is from RNAcentral. Lineage: Eukaryota; Viridiplantae; Streptophyta; Magnoliopsida; Gentianales; Rubiaceae.
UGCAGGAUCAACCAGGUAGCAUUCCUCUGGGACUUCGAGUUGCAAGACGUAAAACGUCUAUGCGACAUCGAACGUCAAUCGAAUGGGGCGUGUAAUGCCAAUUUGUGGGAAAAUAGAGAGGUCAAGGACCCCUUUACCCGCAAUAGUGUUUUUUGCAUCCCCGAAGUCAAGCUACACUCGUGGGCCGUGAUUGCAUAGCAAUUUGUAUGCAAAUCAGAACACAAAUUUCACUUUGAGGUUCACCCGAAGCCGCACCGCGUAAACGGGCAGCAGUAGGAGAACUUGGGAUGGGUUGCCCGACAAAUUCCAUCGAUGUAGGUAUGCAACACAGGAAACCAACAGCUCGGCCAAGGCAACAGAGGCUCUUGUGCCAAAUAUGAAGAGGAAUGCACGAAAGGACGUCGCUACCAAAGUAGGGAUCCAA